This 39-nucleotide transfer RNA is filed under the name Gyrinops ledermannii. RNAcentral describes it as "partial tRNA-Phe". Lineage: Eukaryota; Viridiplantae; Streptophyta; Magnoliopsida; Malvales; Thymelaeaceae. The record is from RNAcentral.
CGGGAUAGCUCAGCUGGUAGAGCAGAGGACUGAAAAUCC